Molecule: transfer RNA, 70 nt
Filed under: Loxodonta africana (African savanna elephant)
Lineage: Eukaryota; Metazoa; Chordata; Mammalia; Proboscidea; Elephantidae
Rfam family: tRNA
About the family: Transfer RNA (tRNA) molecules are approximately 80 nucleotides in length. Their secondary structure includes four short double-helical elements and three loops (D, anti-codon, and T loops).
Source: Rfam by way of RNAcentral
CUGGGUGGUGCAAACAGUUUGUACUUGGCUGGUAACCAAGAGGCUGGUGGUUCAAACCCACCCAGCCGUG